UUGCUGUAAGUAUGUGCACAUAAUCCAAUAAAUAUUUUUAACAUACAAUUAAGCUCUGAAAGAAGUUUAAAGUGUGUAUUUCAGAUACUUCCUAAAGAUAUCUUCAAUGACCUCAAACAGCUAGCCUAUAGCAUCUAGAAGGGCAAGAAGAGGAACUAAAAGACUACUUUAAAAAUGAAUGGGGAUACAACAACAAAAAAAAGAGUAAAAUGAAAGGCUGGAAGUAUUUCUGUGUGUACAGAAACCAUGCAUAUUCCAGCUCAUAAGAGACAGAGAAAAAUAAAUAAUCUAUCUUGCAUUUUCACCCAGGGCACAGUGAAGUUAAUGCACGUUUUUCUCUUGAUUUCAAUGAGCUUUGGCUUGGGUCCUUUAGCUCUUCUGUCAGAUUCAAAGCAACCAGAAAGAUUUAUGUCUUUCUCAAUUUCCUCUCAAUUUUUUACAUCUACCUGCAACAGGGUGACGGUGAAAGAUAAAAACAGGAGUAAAACAAUUACUUUUAUGCCUUCAAAAAUGCAAAAUGCAGGACAGCAGUACUUAUUAGAGCCAAAGAAAAGUUAGACAGCAAUGCCUCAUUUUCUGUAUUACAUCUGGAAGACAACGAAUGUUCUAGCCUGUAUAAGGAGAAAAUACCUACUCUUUUUGAGAUUUGUAAAUACAAAGUGCUUAUAGUGAGCAAUUCAGAUUGAUAAGGGCUGAAGUCAGAACCCUUGUCACAACUAUAAGCCUACAGAUGUGGACUUUCUUCUCACUUAUACUCUUUAUACAUCAGUGCAACCCUGUGACUUUAAUGGAGCUAUUCCAGAUCAGCUGAUGAGCAAGUGAGAGCAGAAAACUGGCUCACAACUUUCUGGAGAGCUGAGUUCAAGUUUUCAGAGAACAGCUAAAAACCCCAGUUCACCCCCAUAACUACACUGGAGUGGAAGGCGUGCGUUAAAGGUUAACUUGGAAACCUCGUUAUGACAUAACACAGGCAUCUUAAGCAAUCCCAAGUGUGUAGAGACAUGAUAACUCAUCGGGUGGGGAUUGGGAGUUGAGGGGCAGUGACAAGGGGCCUGGACGAGGCUACCGAACUGCCAGAAAACAGCCUGAAACAGGAAAGAGCACCACAUAUGCCACUUGGAAUGUGUGACGCAAACCCCAGCCUUGAAACAAAGAACAGGAAACAGCUCUGCUGGCUGUGCUGGGGAGAAAGCACAGAGAAACAUUUAGGCGGCCCUCCCUGACCCUAUAUUCAUGAGCAGCUGGAGUCUUUUAAAACAACAACAGUGGGUGGAGGUGUUUGUUCAUUGGGUGUGAAUGAAAACACUGUCCUUAUGCAGGGGACCUGCCCUAUUUACAAACAGUCUCCCUUAACGUGAGGGAGCAGAUUUUAAGACACCACAGGUCAGGAGGAUUCACUGAAACCUUCCCUGAGACCAGUUGGUUUAUUACAGUAUUUACAGAAUGGCAGUAGCUAAACAGGGCUCUGGCUCCAUGACAUCAAAGAGGCAGCGCCCAGCCUGGCAGUGAGUACCUUGUUCACAGACAGAGCUAGGGAUGAGACCAUUGCAGGGAGGAUUUGUAAAGCUCGGGGCUGCUCCUGGACAGUGCCUCACUCAUGCUCAGUACUGCUCCGCAGCUCAGCACCAACGUCACUCAGAACACCCAAGAAUAUUCUUCUAAGCCCUCACAUGCCUGGCCUUCCACAUCCCUGUUUUCAUAUGCACUGAGACUUCAUGUCAGAAUCUGAUUUCCUAUGAAUUUACUACUUUUAUUUUUGAAGCACUCACAUAUAAAGCUGAACAAAUGAAAUAAGCUGAAGAAUAGCACAACUUGUCUAGAUUUCAUGCAGCAGAAUAACUUCAACACUUAUUUUCCUUCAAAGCUGUGGUUCCAAAUACUCUCUCUUCUCUUAGAUACCUUGCAUCAGUUAUUUAUAUGCCAUGGGUAGGACAUCUAACAUUAUCAGAUGUGAGAAUGUUACGUGGAUGAGGACAACAGCAACACCAAUGAGUGCUGUGAGGUUCCAAGCUUGGAGUUUAAUAAUGGACUUGGGGUAAAAACUGGCUGGUACAGCAUCUACACAGCAAGAUGUGGGUCUAGGUUUUAUGCCAAUUGUAUCAGUUCCUUUUUCAUACUGAAUAACUGCAAAUAUAGGAAAUUCGGUGAUUGUAUAACGUUUCUAGUAUCACUGAGUCUUCAACUCAUCUCACUCACACAUCCUUAUUUAUCUGAAGGCUUUUGCUUUUGGCUAAACAGGUGUUGACUAGGUCAAAUGUUCACAGUACCUAAGGGCUCCCUUGCAGUUCUGCAACUUGGAGGAAGUUUUGCUUGGAUUCUCAAGGGAGGGAGAAAACAUUUAGUGUUCUUUCCUUCCCCCACCCUUCGCCCUUACCCCCAGUCUCUCGUGUGAUCUGUACCAUAACUAUAACAGUGUGCACAGGGAAAAACACCCCAGAAAUAUUUGCCUGCUUGCGCAAAAAAGGCUAGUCAAGUUAGCUUUAGGCUUUUUAUACUUUGAUACUAGGCAAUAACGAUAUAUUCUUAAAAAUACAAGGUGAAAGUUAAUUUGAAGUAAGUGUCUUCUGGUUCAGGUGGGAUUAUCAAAUCCAGAUGUUAUUCCUCUCACACAAGUACCAGCUGCUCAUGUGAUUAUCACACCAGUAUCUUAAACGUAUUUGUUGAAAAAAAUCACUAGUUAGCAGCCAUGUAAGUCCUUGUUUUCAAUACAGACAGAUAUAUAUUUAUAUUAGUUUAAAUAAGGUCAAGUUUUCAGAGCUCUCCUACCAGUUACUCAAACUCAGCUUUUCCCAACAAUUAAACCUUCAGAGCUCAGUUCUACAAACAGUGGCACUUCCUGAAUUUUCAAAGGUGAGGAAGUGAAUACAACACAGUGGACAGUGCAGGGUACAGUACCUGAAUCAAAAGGGAAGUACACAAAACAACUUUAAUGUAUUUUUUUUAAUGUAAUUCCUGAAUGACCACUUCAGCUAUUCUGAACUGGGUCUUUCUUUCUCCCAAGCUCCAUUUAGGUGCUGUGAUCUCCCAAAGAGGCUCGUGUUGCUGAGCCUUCCUUUGCCAGGGCUCCCCCAGCUGCGACAGGCACUCACCUGACAGUGGUCCUAGGCAAUUAAGUUUUAUUCCCAUUUCGGUUAAAAAAAAAAUAUAAACAGGAAUCCAGGAAAAAAAAAGAAAAAAAGAAAAAACCAACAAAAGGCACCUAGCAAACGAAGUGUUAUUUCUAACUCCACACUUCGCUGCUGUGCUGUCCCACGUUUUACCUUUGCCUGCAUGGCGGCCAAGCGCUGCUAAGGUGACAUGACUAUACGAGGGGCAGGCUUUUAGGAGCCGAUUUCAUCCUGGACUUCACCAAGAGUUAAACUGAGGCCAUGGCGCUUGCCGAUCCGCUGCGGCUGGGACACGGCCCGUACGCGAGCUCCUGCCCCGGCAUCCACCGCACCGCCCGCGGAACCGAGCGAGCCCGCUCUAGUGUCCGCCUCGGUUCGGCCGGCCACUGGGUCCCGCCCGGCACCCCAAGGCACUUCAGUCUCUGUCCCAAGACGCGCCUGUCCCGCCCCGGCGAGAGGCCGGGGGCUGCGGCCGCGCUGGGCGGGAGAGCGGCCCCGAGGGGCCGGCGGCCCUCGGGCCCUCCCGCCGGGGACAGGCGGGGGAGGGCGCCGGGGAAGGCUCCCCCCGAGCGGCCCCGCCGGCCACACAGGUGCGCUGCGGGCGCGGCGGACAGCGGCGGCCCCCGCCCCCGGCUCCCGCCGGCCGCACAGCGAGUUUCCCAGGCGCCGCGGAGGGAGCCCCCGCGGAGAGUUCUGCUCCCCCUUCCCCGCAACUGCGGCGUGCCGGAGACCCAGCUCCCGCCACCCCCGGCGUGGCUGCGGCUCCCGCGGCACCACCUUGCCGCCUCGGGCUCCGCGCUGCUCUCAGCGCCUGGAAACUUUUCUCCUCCGGCACCUCCAUCCCGCAGCCGGCAGAGCGCGGCCCCCGCAUUACCCCUGCCCUCACACUUACGCUCGGCAGGCGGUGCGGAGCGCGCCGCGGUUCCCUCGGCUCCCGCAGCGCCGGGGGUCACGAGCAACUGUUGUGAGCAUGCUCUUAUGACUCAGGAGUACCACCAAGCACCCAGAGGGUCCUCCCUUUUCAGUUCUUCUCUGCUGAAAAGCAUGCCUGGAGUCUGCCUUGAUAAAGACAGGAAAUUCUUCAGUAGAGUAAAAUGUCCAGUGUCACUUGGUACCAAAAGAUAGGAAAGAUGACAAUUCUGCUGAAGGUUUGAGUCCAGAGACAGAGGAAGUGGCUAACAACUAAAAGAUUUAAAGGAAAUACCAGUGGCAACACAAAGAGAAACAGCUUAAUUAAAACACCAUCUAGAGCAAUGCACUUUCUUUGGCACUCGUGAUUUUUUAUUGAGAAGAGGAAUAUCAAAAAAUGGUACUUCUACUGUGUUUGGGAGAUCGGCCCAAACUUACACAAUGCUAAUGCAACCUCUGACCUAUAUUGAAGCCAGGCAGCUCCUGACAUGAUAUGGGUGCUCAAGCAGGGAAGAGAGCACACACACUUGUCUGCAGCCUUCUGGCUGAACACAAGGACUCCUAUGGCUGAUGGAGCACAAAGACUAGAGACCUUGGAAGGAGCACAAGGAGAGAGGUUGGAAAGGGAUGGAUCACUGUGCCUCCAAAGGCAAUCCAGCUCUGACACUCUCUAGGAGUUUAUCACAACAUCUCCCAGUGCCUACACAAGGUCUGUAUGCAGCCUCUACAACCCAAAGUCUGUAUGUCAUAAUAUACCAUCAGUCUGCAAAACUAGGCAGGGUUUGGGAAAAGUCUCAUACUUUCCAGUCUUUCCUGUCUAUUGUUGGUUUUCCAUUACUCUGCUUCUGGAUGCCCCUGAAAAACCACAAGAACUUCCCUUCUUGUAGGGUUUCAUCACUUUUGCCUCAAAAUGAAACUCACCAAAAUGAAAAACAGCUGGAUCAAAAAGAAAUCUAGUAAGCAAAUAAGCAAACAAAUCCAAAUCAUCAAAAAUUAAGUUGAUUUUAAUUCUGUAUCUGGUUUUGGCCAAACCGUAUAUUAAUUUUUAGAUUUUUUUCUUCCUGUCACUUUAUAUGUCUUUUGCAAGAAUAAUCACAUUUGGUUUUAGUCUCUACCAGUCUCUGAUCUGUAUUUCUGUUUUGCUGCCACUGGGAAACUGCUUUGCCACUAUGUUCCUGCUUAUGUCAUUAGACCAUAUUACUGGUGAUUUUUGGCUUAAACUCAAGCUUUUGAUCAGCACCUAGUAGAAAAAUAUGUCUUGCUUCUUUUUAUUUAGGAUCUGAAAUACUUUUGUCACUUGGGUUGAUGCUACACAAAGAGGGUUUUCUCUAAAUCCUCUGAAAAGCUUUGUGCCUCUACUAUUGUGUUACCCACAGUUCACACUUUAAGGCAGGUAAAAGGACAAUUCUAAAAAUCUCUCUUGAACUGAAUAUGAUCAAUCAAUAAUUAACACUUGACAUCCAAUAAGUCCAAAUUCCAGCAUACAGAAUGUUUCUCUUGGCACAUCAUGCUUGUCAGCUCCAUUUUCAAUUUGAGCUGGCAGCCAGCGAUAGCAGCAGACUUACAGCAGGCGUUCUGCAGGCUUUUGUAUCUGGGGUGGGUACUAAUUUUACAAAGUAAGGACACAGGAAUAACUUAGAGAAAACAAGAAUUCCAGAGCUAGACUAAUGGGACAGGCCUCUGGAUAAUGACUUUUAAUACAGAUUAUUGAAAAGUAAACUAUUCUGAGUUAAAGGGAAGGUAUUUAGGUGUGCGAAAGAGGAGGUAAAUUACUAGGUGCAUGUAAAGGACAGGCGACUGGAGACUGGGGAGCGAAAGUGGAUUUUUCCAAAGGAAAGGCAGGGCCUGACAAGUUUUUCCCUCAGCGCUUCCCCACGGAGGCCAGCCUGACGGGAAAGAGCCGCAUUCAGUGUGUGCCCGGCGCUGGGCCCCGCCCGCAGGGCGCGGUGCGGCCCGGCCGGAGCGCGGGCGGCUCCGCGGCUGGGCCCCGGCAGGGGCCGCGCUCCGGGCCUGCCGUGAGGGAGGGCGCGCUGUGCCCCGGGCCGCGCCGCUCCUGAGCGCUGCUGCUUCAUGCUUUGGGCUCUUUGUUUCCCUUGUCCUGCUGCCAGCAGGGCAGACAGUGCAGGCAGUCAAGGAGCAGCUGCCUGCCGGAGCUCGGAGGCUCACGUCACACAGGCAGGGCUGCCGGGGCACAGCCAGCCCGCGAGGGGGUGAGGUUAGGUGAAACAUUAGCCACGUUGUCUUGGCUUCCCGCCAGGGCCUUUCAAAUAUUUCUUUAUGUGCUGCUGAUGCUGUGCUUGUUUGGCAUUUAAAAGGUAUGCUCCGACAGGAUUUCACAACGAGCUGCCAUUUUACGGUUCAAAACAGAUGCGAGCUUAUCACCCAUGGCAAUGUGUGUCUCCAUGAACCCCUUCCUCUCCCCUUCCUCUCCCCUCCCUCGGGGCUUGCAGCGGAGCCACUCCAGGCAGAUCAAUCAUGAGGACUGUGUAAGCGGCUAAAAAUAAUGCAAGUCAUAAAAGUCUGGAAGCUGUUGAUCAUUUUGGGGUUUGGUUCAAAUACUGGUCAAUACCGAUGACUGUGCUAUCUGGACAGUAGUAGAUAAGGGUCAGAUGUUCCUCUAAGGUGAUUAAGAUGACUUGCAGUCCCCUUCCUCAAUGCCUGUUGCCAAAGCGUGUCUCUUCAGUUUUUCAGGUUGCAGAGAACAGGCAGAUAUCCUUGACAGUUUGUCACUAGCAGAAUUUCAUCCUAGAUUCAGAAAUAUAGUGUUGGAAGGCAGAACAAACUGAGCAUCCUGAGAGAUGCCAGUCAAACCAGUUCUUAAAGACUCCACCAGUGCUGCAGGCAACAUGUGCCAGUGCUUCCUUGUCCUUUCUAAAGCUUCUCGUUAUCCAGAUGGUUCUUUAUCUACCUGUCCAGCAACAUAAAGGUGGAGCUGCGUGUUGCAACACUACUGGUGACUUGCAGAAUGUCCUAUAGACAGUAUUUCCUCCAGGUCAGGGUGGGGAUGGUGAGCAGGAUAGUUUGAUAAAGUCUGGAGUGCAAAUUCAAAUGGCUGAAAUACAUCUUGUGCCCAAGAUAAACAAUAGAAAGGUCAGAGAAGUGAGCAAAUGCAGGCACGAGCUUUCACAGCUUUUGUACGGUUGCAUCUUAAUUUUGUGCUGGGAUUUGUAAUAUCAUUGUCAAAGGAGACUAAUGCACAGAAGAUGACUCUAAUGAAGUGCUAUUCUUUAAAGAAACAGGAGAUUUGAGUACUUAGGAAUCAAAUAUUUUGUUUACUCUGAGCUGGCUCUUUGACCAUUAUGCUAGUGCUGUGUGAAUGCUAUGAAAAUGGACAGAGGUAUUAUUAUUAUUAUUAUUAUUAUUAUUAUUAUUAUUAUUAUUUGUAAGGAAUAGGUAAUAUUCUGAUUACCUUCUAGGUAAUUUGCGCUGGUUUUGAGCUCAUUUUUCUUUCUCAUCUCCUGGAAGAUAGGCAAAGAGUAGCUUGAGAAGAAACAGACACACACAAAGACACACACACAGAGCUUACCAAGAGAGGUCACUGCAACAUCCUCCGUGGAUGCAUUCACAAAGGCAUGAAACAACACUCUCAAGGCUGGUCAGAGGGGAUCACUGCCUGCCUUGUAGGGUUUGGAUCUCACACAGAACUCUAAAUCACAGAAGUGAAGAAAACUGUGCACUGUCCUAAUCAUGGGAAUGAUUUUAAUAUCAUGAGGUACUUCAAAAAAAGUCCAUUUCUUUUUUUCUCUUGUGUGUAAGAGAGAAAGGCAGACAAUGUGUGUUGCCAGCUCUUCUCGAUAGACAGAGGGUGAUACCAUCCUCUGUAAGAACUCUCUCUGGCCUCCUGAAAGUAGGAAGUUUCCAGCCUUCCCUCAGAUUCUUAAUUUCUAAUUAAUUUAUUCUAGAUCCUACCAGCACACAUCUGCACUCUUCUCUUGCUCAACAAUUAGUUAUGCAACCCAAGAAAAACAUGGUAUUAAUUCCUGAAUUUCCAAGCUCUGUUCCUGCCCUGAAAUCUUCUCGCCUGUCUCUGCCCCUCCUGCUGGUCGUGGAUCCUGUGCUCAGGGUGGAAGAAGGCUUUGCUGGAGAUGCUUCACUUGGCUGCCACUGCUCACAGAGCUGGUGCUGAGGGAUGGAGAAUGAAGGGGCAGCAGAGCGCAGCAUGACCCACUUUUCACUGACUGAUAUCCAGAAUUAAUCAACUCGCAUGUCCUUCUGCAUAACAUGGAUCAAAGGGUUUCCCAGCAUUUGUUCCUGUUUGAACUAUUGAUUUUCUUUGCAUAAACCAGCCAAGUUUAAUUAAAUUAUGCACAGUGAUAAAGAAUCUACCCUCAGCUCUGUGUAAAUGGUUCCAGCAGUUAAUUUCCCCUCUCUGCUGAAACCACAUGCCUUAUUUCUAGGGCAGAUUGUCUAGACAGAUGUGUGUGAGAGCCCACUCCAAAAUUUUGCUUCAAAUACAGGUACUCCUAAAUUACACCUACACAAGCCUUUCCCUUUGCUCUACUGAAGAGCUCGAACUUUUGGAAGCUCUUUCUGGAAAACACAUUUUCCAGUCCUUAGUCAUUCAGUGAACUCUCAUCUGAAACCUCUUGACUUGUAUGUGUGAGGCCAGGACACUUUUCAGCUGAGACCAGGUACAGAUUUUGUCCGUAGCAUCCAGAGUUCCCAGGUUCAUGUACACAAGAAUUCCUUUUGCUGGAGCAAACAUUUCCUCCUGUUGGGUUAUCUGCCCUGGCCUCCCUGCAGACUCACUGCUUCUAAGGGCUCCAUUAACCUGUGAGGAUGACCUGAAAGAUUUGUUCUGUAAUGAAUGACUUUACUUUUGGCUGCACUGAAUUUCAUAUUAAAAAAUUGUUGCCUAUGUGCAGUUUUCCAAGCAUGUCACAUUGCUGCUACUCAGGGACCCGAUUUUUUCUUUAUUGACUGCUUAUCAUUUCAUGUGCAUUUGCAUGUGUCCAUGCUCACUGAGCUAUCCAGAGACUUCAGAUAAAAUACUUAAGAGGAAAGAAUACUUAAGAAACAAAGACUUCCCUACCACCUGUCCCACCAGAGCUCCUGAAGCACAAGGCUGAAUCACAUAUCUUAGACUUACUUUAAUUCUGUCUGCCUAGCAGAGAUAACAGAGCUCUGGAGGAGAACCUCUAGCUCAUCUCUGCUAAUAAAUGAGCAAGUGCCAAAUUUGCUAGGCCUGACUAGCUACACCAGUGGCUUGUAGCCUUGUAGGCUAAUGUCAGCCUAGGCAGCAUUGCCAUCUGAUUUUUCCUGGAAGAGAUGGGGAGUACCACUGGAACUGUUCCUGUAGGGAGCCUUUCUAAAUUACCACGUGAAACCUCCUAAUGCUGCUGUAAUGCAGACUAGAGAGCAACCUGCAUCCCCAUCUCCCCAGCUCUGGCUGCAGCCUCAUGAUGGAUGAGGGUGGAGACAGCUUCUUGCUUCAGGGGAUGCUAUCUGCUCAUGUAGGUUGUGCCACCAGAAUUAAGUCCCAAAGCUGAUAAAAGUGAACUGCUGGUUAACGUAGAAGAUAUUGGACUCCCCUGCAAGGCACAGGACGCUGCAUGUGGUGUUCUGCAUGAAAUUCAAUGCUGAGGUGUGUUCAGAGUGCAUUGACUAGACAGCCCUUCAAGAGACCUUUAUGCUAGGAUCCCUAGCCUGGAGCUGCCACUCAGCUGAGCAUGAAAUAGGUACUGAGGGGUCAGCAUGUGUGAGAUGGUGGUGAGUGUGGGCUCCACAGAAGCCCAGGAAUGCUGAGGUUUGAUAGUGAGGUUCCAAAUGAGUUUGGUAAAUGCCAGGCUUGGUUGCAAGUGCCUCAGACAGUUUGAGCAUUCCUCCUCCUUACCCCCCCACAUACACCUGUAUCCUUUAUAAGAUCCAGCCAUGGCAAUUGUCACUGCAGACAAUAAAUAUUGUUUC
This is an RNA transcript of Prinia subflava (tawny-flanked prinia), 9923 nucleotides long. It is a transcript of the gene named atherin-like, with no coding region annotated. The transcript has 5 exons. The record is from RefSeq and is a predicted model, not a curated record. Lineage: Eukaryota; Metazoa; Chordata; Aves; Passeriformes; Cisticolidae.